This 216-nucleotide ribosomal RNA is filed under the name Glomeromycotina sp. RNAcentral describes it as "partial small subunit ribosomal RNA". The stretch from base 40 to 216 matches the Rfam family "Eukaryotic small subunit ribosomal RNA", at positions 686 to 864 of the family's 1831-position model. Lineage: Eukaryota; Fungi; Glomeromycota. The record is from RNAcentral.
GGGUCAGUAGGUUGGUCGUGCCACCGGUACGUACUGGUCUCACUGAUUCCUCCUUCCUGAAGAACCGUAAUGCCAUUAAUCUGGUGUUGCGGGGAAACAAGACUGUUACUUUGAAAAAAUUAGAGUGUUUAAAGCAAGCUAACGCUUGAAUACAUUAGCAUGGUAUAAUGAAAUAGGACGAUCGAUCCUAUUUUGUUGGUUUCUAGGAUUGACGUA